AAUUCGGCAUCAAUAUGGUGACCUCCCAGGAGUGGGGGACCACCAAGUUGCCUAAGGAGGGGUGAACCAGCCCAGGUUGGAAAUGGAGCAGGUCAAAACUCCUGUGCUGAUUU
RNAcentral lists this signal recognition particle RNA (113 nucleotides) under Neotoma lepida (desert woodrat). Its description in RNAcentral is "Metazoan signal recognition particle RNA". It matches the Rfam family "Metazoan signal recognition particle RNA", at positions 118 to 230 of the family's 299-position model. From Rfam's summary of the family: The signal recognition particle (SRP) is a universally conserved ribonucleoprotein. It is involved in the co-translational targeting of proteins to membranes. The eukaryotic SRP consists of a 300-nucleotide 7S RNA and six proteins: SRPs 72, 68, 54, 19, 14, and 9. The record is from Rfam by way of RNAcentral. Lineage: Eukaryota; Metazoa; Chordata; Mammalia; Rodentia; Cricetidae.